This 442-nucleotide long non-coding RNA is filed under the name Brassica napus (rape). Its description in RNAcentral is "long non-coding RNA (BNAP_LNC020025)". The record is from RNAcentral. Lineage: Eukaryota; Viridiplantae; Streptophyta; Magnoliopsida; Brassicales; Brassicaceae.
AUCAACCAAGGAUAGAUUCCAGAAUACCUAUCUAUCCACAACCUAGCAAUAUUAUCUAAGGGUUCGCAUUCGCUAACUAACCAAGCAACCGAAUAAUUAGCAUGCUACUACGAUUCCCAAGCAAUAACUAAGCAUGCUAUCAACUCAAUCAACCAAACCUCGACUAUUAACUAAUCAAACCGAUACUCAGUUAGACCCGGCCUCCUGCCAUGAUCCAACUUCCAAGUAACGGGAACCUGCAUGAAAACAAGUCAGCAAUCAAUUGUCGUGACUCACUGUGUUUGGUUCGUUGUGGCUUUGACCCUUGCCCGAAUCCUCGACCAAAACUCUUUCUUGAACUCCUCAAGUAGCCUCCUGUUCCAACUGACCUCAAAGGCAUGCCUAACCCUGAAUGGCCUUCCUUGAACAACUCUCAACUCAAACAGAAACUCCUUUAGGCGGC